ACGGGUGAGUAACACGUGGGUUGAUCUGCCCUGCACUUUGGGAUAAGCCUGGGAAACUGGGUCUAAUACCGAAUAGGACCACGCGCUUCAUGGUGUGUGGUAGAAAGCUUUUGCGGUGUGGGAUGGGCCCGCGGCCUAUCAGCUUGUUGGUGGGGUANNNNNNNACCAAGGCGACGACGGGUAGCCGGCCUGAGAGGGUGACCGGCCACACUGGGACUGAGAUACGGCCCAGACUCCUACGGGAGGCAGCAGUGGGGAAUAUUGCACAAUGGGCGCAAGCCUGAUGCAGCGACGCCGCGUGAGGGAUGACGGCCUUCGGGUUGUAAACCUCUUUCAAUAGGGACGAAGCGCAAGUGACGGUACCUAUAGAAGAAGCACCGGCCAACUACGUGCCAGCAGCCGCGGUAAUACGUAGGGUGCGAGCGUUGUCCGGAAUUACUGGGCGUAAAGAGCUCGUAGGUGGUUUGUCGCGUUGUUCGUGAAAACUCACAGCUUAACUGUGGGCGUGCGGGCGAUACGGGCAGACUAGAGUACUGCAGGGGAGACUGGAAUUCCUGGUGUAGCGGUGGAAUGCGCAGAUAUCAGGAGGAACACCGGUGGCGAAGGCGGGUCUCUGGGCAGUAACUGACGCUGAGGAGCGAAAGCGUGGGGAGCGAACAGGAUUAGAUACCCUGGUAGUCCACGCCGUANACGGUGGGUACUAGGUGUGGGUUCCUUCCUUGGGAUCCGUGCCGUAGCUAACGCAUUAAGUACCCCGCCUGGNGAGUACGGCCGCAAGGCUAAAACUCAAAGGAAUUGACGGGGGCCCGCACAAGCGGCGG
This 821-nucleotide ribosomal RNA is filed under the name uncultured bacterium. RNAcentral describes it as "bacterial SSU rRNA". It matches the Rfam family "Bacterial small subunit ribosomal RNA", at positions 102 to 935 of the family's 1533-position model. The record is from RNAcentral.